RNAcentral lists this ribosomal RNA (1026 nucleotides) under Salmonella enterica. Its description in RNAcentral is "partial 23S ribosomal RNA". It matches the Rfam family "Bacterial large subunit ribosomal RNA", at positions 711 to 1735 of the family's 2925-position model. The record is from RNAcentral. RNAcentral also lists the same sequence under 2 other names. Lineage: Bacteria; Pseudomonadati; Pseudomonadota; Gammaproteobacteria; Enterobacterales; Enterobacteriaceae.
AGACCCGAAACCCGGUGAUCUAGCCAUGGGCAGGUUGAAGGUUGGGUAACACUAACUGGAGGACCGAACCGACUAAUGUUGAAAAAUUAGCGGAUGACCUGUGGCUGGGGGUGAAAGGCCAAUCAAACCGGGAGAUAGCUGGUUCUCCCCGAAAGCUAUUUAGGUAGCGCCUCGUGAAUUCAUCUCCGGGGGUAGAGCACUGUUUCGGCUAGGGGGCCAUCCCGGCUUACCAACCCGAUGCAAACUGCGAAUACCGGAGAAUGUUAUCACGGGAGACACACGGCGGGUGCUAACGUCCGUCGUGAAGAGGGAAACAACCCAGACCGCCAGCUAAGGUCCCAAAGUCAUGGUUAAGUGGGAAACGAUGUGGGAAGGCCCAGACAGCCAGGAUGUUGGCUUAGAAGCAGCCAUCAUUUAAAGAAAGCGUAAUAGCUCACUGGUCGAGUCGGCCUGCGCGGAAGAUGUAACGGGGCUAAACCAUGCACCGAAGCUGCGGCAGCGACACUAUGUGUUGUUGGGUAGGGGAGCGUUCUGUAAGCCUGCGAAGGUGGCCUGUGAGGGUUGCUGGAGGUAUCAGAAGUGCGAAUGCUGACAUAAGUAACGAUAAAGCGGGUGAAAAGCCCGCUCGCCGGAAGACCAAGGGUUCCUGUCCAACGUUAAUCGGGGCAGGGUGAGUCGACCCCUAAGGCGAGGCCGAAAGGCGUAGUCGAUGGGAAACGGGUUAAUAUUCCCGUACUUGGUGUUACUGCGAAGGGGGGACGGAGAAGGCUAUGUUGGCCGGGCGACGGUUGUCCCGGUUUAAGCGUGUAGGUGUGUGUUCCAGGUAAAUCCGGUUCACUUUAACACUGAGGCGUGACGACGAGGCACUACGGUGCUGAAGCAACAAAUGCCCUGCUUCCAGGAAAAGCCUCUAAGCAUCAGGUAACAUCAAAUCGUACCCCAAACCGACACAGGUGGUCAGGUAGAGAAUACCAAGGCGCUUGAGAGAACUCGGGUGAAGGAACUAGGCAAAAUGGUGCCGUAACU